Molecule: ribosomal RNA, 256 nt
Filed under: uncultured bacterium
Lineage: Bacteria
Description: partial 16S ribosomal RNA
Rfam family: Bacterial small subunit ribosomal RNA
Source: RNAcentral
UACGUAGGGUGCAAGCGUUAAUCGGAAUUACUGGGCGUAAAGCGUGCGCAGGCGGCUUUGCAAGACAGAUGUGAAAUCCCCGGGCUCAACCUGGGAACUGCAUUUGUGACUGCAUGGCUAGAGUGCGGCAGAGGGGGAUGGAAUUCCGCGUGUAGCAGUGAAAUGCGUAGAUAUGCGGAGGAACACCGAUGGCGAAGGCAAUCCCCUGGGCCUGCACUGACGCCUCGAUGCACGAAAAGCGUGGGGAGCAAACAGG